AUGCUUGAUGCGAUGGAGGUUGCGGCACGGCGGCCGACGGGAGCAUGCAAGUGGGUGAUGGUCGUAGCAAGGCGAUGUCGCACGGUCGCUCGGCGUGCAGUACGGCCCGGUGGUGCCGGACUGCCGGUGCGGCACAUAUCUGUAGCGGAGCGUGGAAGUUCGGUUGAUGUGCGCAGCAAGCGUGACACUGGCACAACUGCGGCACACCGCUUGACCUUUUGCCGCCGUGUGUAUUUUCUUUUUGUGUGCGUAUUGGACGUACAAUUUUUGAUAGAUUAUACCAUCUUGUCCACCUACAGAAUUAGCUAG
RNAcentral lists this ribosomal RNA (309 nucleotides) under Triticum aestivum (bread wheat). RNAcentral describes it as "partial small subunit ribosomal RNA". Lineage: Eukaryota; Viridiplantae; Streptophyta; Magnoliopsida; Poales; Poaceae. The record is from RNAcentral.